GUCUCAGUAGCGUUUUGGUUAGCGCACGUGCUGUGGUUAGGCGGGAGACGUGGGUUCGAAUCCUGCCUGAGAAG
This 74-nucleotide transfer RNA is filed under the name Nippostrongylus brasiliensis. It matches the Rfam family "tRNA". From Rfam's summary of the family: Transfer RNA (tRNA) molecules are approximately 80 nucleotides in length. Their secondary structure includes four short double-helical elements and three loops (D, anti-codon, and T loops). Further hydrogen bonds mediate the characteristic L-shaped molecular structure. tRNAs have two regions of fundamental functional importance: the anti-codon, which is responsible for specific mRNA codon recognition, and the 3' end, to which the tRNAs corresponding amino acid is attached (by aminoacyl-tRNA synthetases). tRNAs cope with the degeneracy of the genetic code in two manners: having more than one tRNA (with a specific anti-codon) for a particular amino acid; and 'wobble' base-pairing, i.e. permitting non-standard base-pairing at the 3rd anti-codon position. Lineage: Eukaryota; Metazoa; Nematoda; Chromadorea; Rhabditida; Heligmosomidae. The record is from Rfam by way of RNAcentral.